RNAcentral lists this ribosomal RNA (468 nucleotides) under uncultured bacterium. RNAcentral's name for it is "partial 16S ribosomal RNA". It matches the Rfam family "Bacterial small subunit ribosomal RNA", at positions 28 to 507 of the family's 1533-position model. The record is from RNAcentral.
GACGAACGCUGGCGGCGUGCUUAACACAUGCAAGUCGAACGGAAAGGCCCUGCUUUUGUGGGGUGCUCGAGUGGCGAACGGGUGAGUAACACGUGAGUAACCUGCCCUUGACUUUGGGAUAACUUCAGGAGACUGGGGCUAAUACCGGAUAGGAGCUCCUGCUGCAUGGUGGGGGUUGGAAAGUUUCGGCGGUUGGGGAUGGACUCGCGGCUUAUCAGCUUGUUGGUGGGGUAGUGGCUUACCAAGGCUUUGACGGGUAGCCGGCCUGAAAGGGUGACCGGCCACAUUGGGACUGAGAUACGGCCCAGACUCCUACGGGAGGCAGCAGUGGGGAAUAUUGCACAAUGGGCGGAAGCCUGAUGCAGCAACGCCGCGUGCGGGAUGACGGCCUUCGGGUUGUAAACCGCUUUCGCCUGUGACGAAGCGUGAGUGACGGUAAUGGGUAAAGAAGCACCGGCUAACUACGUG